This 397-nucleotide unclassified non-coding RNA is filed under the name Hevea brasiliensis (rubber tree). The record is from RNAcentral. Lineage: Eukaryota; Viridiplantae; Streptophyta; Magnoliopsida; Malpighiales; Euphorbiaceae.
GGCCUAAGAGUAUACAUGUAGUUAUUGGUUACUGAAGCACCAAAUAAAAAUGAGCGUCCCAGGUUUGAAGAAAGGAUGUUAAGAGUUUUGAUAUAUAUAGCCUUUCAUAAAUCAAUGGUGAAUGCUUUCCUUGGAUGCGCGUGUAAUGAAGUACUGCAGGCUGAUCUUCAACAUAGUCAUAUCUCCCCCUUUCGUUCCGCACCAACCCAAAAUGAAAUAAUAAAAUCCUCCAUACCUAUUGAGAGGAGAAAAUACAGAGAGAAAAAAAAGAUCGACUUCCAAGUAUUGAGGAGAGACUACAAGUUCCAACAAGUAAGGCAUCUACAACUGACUUUGUACUUUAGUCUGGAUGUUUCGAGGUGUAUUCUUCACCAUUCCAGAUCAACGAUGGAGACAC